Molecule: ribosomal RNA, 1395 nt
Filed under: Klebsiella sp. UIWRF0488
Lineage: Bacteria; Pseudomonadati; Pseudomonadota; Gammaproteobacteria; Enterobacterales; Enterobacteriaceae
Description: bacterial SSU rRNA
Rfam family: Bacterial small subunit ribosomal RNA
Source: RNAcentral
GGCCUAACACAUGCAAGUCGAGCGGUAGCACAGAGAGCUUGCUCUCGGGUGACGAGCGGCGGACGGGUGAGUAAUGUCUGGGAAACUGCCUGAUGGAGGGGGAUAACUACUGGAAACGGUAGCUAAUACCGCAUAACGUCGCAAGACCAAAGUGGGGGACCUUCGGGCCUCAUGCCAUCAGAUGUGCCCAGAUGGGAUUAGCUGGUAGGUGGGGUAACGGCUCACCUAGGCGACGAUCCCUAGCUGGUCUGAGAGGAUGACCAGCCACACUGGAACUGAGACACGGUCCAGACUCCUACGGGAGGCAGCAGUGGGGAAUAUUGCACAAUGGGCGCAAGCCUGAUGCAGCCAUGCCGCGUGUGUGAAGAAGGCCUUCGGGUUGUAAAGCACUUUCAGCGGGGAGGAAGGCGGUGAGGUUAAUAACCUCACCGAUUGACGUUACCCGCAGAAGAAGCACCGGCUAAUCCGUGCCAGCAGCCGCGGUAAUACGGAGGGUGCAAGCGUUAAUCGGAAUUACUGGGCGUAAAGCGCACGCAGGCGGUCUGUCAAGUCGGAUGUGAAAUCCCCGGGCUCAACCUGGGAACUGCAUUCGAAACUGGCAGGCUAGAGUCUUGUAGAGGGGGGUAGAAUUCCAGGUGUAGCGGUGAAAUGCGUAGAGAUCUGGAGGAAUACCGGUGGCGAAGGCGGCCCCCUGGACAAAGACUGACGCUCAGGUGCGAAAGCGUGCAAACAGGAUUAGAUACCCUGGUAGUCCACGCUGUAAACGAUGUCGAUUUGGAGGUUGUGCCCUUGAGGCGUGGCUUCCGGAGCUAACGCGUUAAAUCGACCGCCUGGGGAGUACGGCCGCAAGGUUAAAACUCAAAUGAAUUGACGGGGGCCCGCACAAGCGGUGGAGCAUGUGGUUUAAUUCGAUGCAACGCGAAGAACCUUACCUGGUCUUGACAUCCACAGAACUUUCCAGAGAUGGAUUGGUGCCUUCGGGAACUGUGAGACAGGUGCUGCAUGGCUGUCGUCAGCUCGUGUUGUGAAAUGUUGGGUUAAGUCCCGCAACGAGCGCAACCCUUAUCCUUUGUUGCCAGCGGUCCGGCCGGGAACUCAAAGGAGACUGCCAGUGAUAAACUGGAGGAAGGUGGGGAUGACGUCAAGUCAUCAUGGCCCUUACGACCAGGGCUACACACGUGCUACAAUGGCAUAUACAAAGAGAAGCGACCUCGCGAGAGCAAGCGGACCUCAUAAAGUAUGUCGUAGUCCGGAUUGGAGUCUGCAACUCGACUCCAUGAAGUCGGAAUCGCUAGUAAUCGUAGAUCAGAAUGCUACGGUGAAUACGUUCCCGGGCCUUGUACACACCGCCCGUCACACCAUGGGAGUGGGUUGCAAAAGAAGUAGGUAGCUUAA